Macrobrachium nipponense is the source of this 265-nucleotide long non-coding RNA. RefSeq lists it as uncharacterized. The record is from RefSeq and is a predicted model, not a curated record. Lineage: Eukaryota; Metazoa; Arthropoda; Malacostraca; Decapoda; Palaemonidae. The transcript has 4 exons.
CUCUAUCAGCCCGCCCACCUGUACAAUCAGACCCCUUUGAUAGUGACAGUGACCCAGAUGACCCUGAGCCUUUCCAUGGUUUUGAUGCCUCGCCCUAUACAUCAGAUGUAGAUGUUCCCUCAUCAGUUGAUACGAGUAUCACCUCUCCAGAGCCCAAAUCAGUUGAUACGAGUAGUAUCACCUCUCCCAUUCCUUCAGACUCCCAAGCACCUGCCCAUCCCACUCCAUAGCCCAGCCACCCACUCUCAUGUACCAUAUGGCCAUC